AGUCUGCAACUCGACUACAUGAAGCCGGAAUCGCUAGUAAUCGCGGAUCAGAAUGCCGCGGUGAAUACGUUCCCGGGUCUUGUACACACCGCCCGUCACACCAUGGGAGCCGGAAAUGCCCGAAGUCAGUGACCCAACCAAUAAGGAGGGAGCUGCCGAAGGCAGGUCUGGUGACUGGGGUGAAGUCGUAACAAGGUACC
This 200-nucleotide ribosomal RNA is filed under the name uncultured bacterium. Its description in RNAcentral is "partial 16S ribosomal RNA". It matches the Rfam family "Bacterial small subunit ribosomal RNA", at positions 1302 to 1500 of the family's 1533-position model. The record is from RNAcentral.